Molecule: unclassified non-coding RNA, 552 nt
Filed under: Thelephoraceae sp. 2 CG-2012
Lineage: Eukaryota; Fungi; Basidiomycota; Agaricomycetes; Thelephorales; Thelephoraceae
Description: sequence contains ITS1, 5.8S rRNA gene, ITS2
Rfam family: 5.8S ribosomal RNA (bases 171-325)
Source: RNAcentral
UACCGAGUUCAUGCCCUUACGGGUAGACCUCCCACCCUAUGUUAUAUUACCUUUGUUGCUUUGGCGGGCCGCCCGGCUUCGGCCAGGCUACCGGCUCCAGCUGGUAAGCGCUCGCCAGAGGACCCUCAACUCUGAAUAUCAGUGUCGUCCGAGUACUAUAAAAUAGUUAAAACUUUCAACAACGGAUCUCUUGGUUAUGGCAUCGAUGAAGAACGCAGCGAAAUGCGAUAAGUAAUGUGAAUUGCAGAAUUCAGUGAAUCAUCGAAUCUUUGAACGCACCUUGCGCCCCUUGGCUAUUCCGAAGGGCAUGCCUGUUUGAGUAUCAUGAACACCUCAACUCCCGUGGUUCGCCAUGGUGAGCUUGGACUUUGGAGGUUUUGCUGGCCCACGGUCGGCUCCUCUCAAAUGAAUUAGCCUGCCAGCGUUUGGUGGCAUCACGGGUGUGAUAAAUAUCUACGCUUGCGAUCGCCCACCAGGUAACCUUCAGCGAUGGGGGUUCGCUGGGGCUCAUAGACGUCUCUCCCUCGGCGAGGACGGUUUUUUUAACGUUCG